RNAcentral lists this ribosomal RNA (440 nucleotides) under uncultured bacterium. RNAcentral describes it as "partial 16S ribosomal RNA". It matches the Rfam family "Bacterial small subunit ribosomal RNA", at positions 338 to 795 of the family's 1533-position model. The record is from RNAcentral.
CCUACGGGUGGCUGCAGUAGGGAAUAUUGCUCAAUGGGGGAAACCCUGAAGCAGCAACGCCGCGUGGAGGAUGAAGGUCUUCGGAUUGUAAACCCCUUUUGUUAGAGAAGAUAAUGACGGUAUCUAAGGAAUAAGCACCGGCUAACUCCGUGCCAGCAGCCGCGGUAAUACGGAGGGUGCAAGCGUUACUCGGAAUCACUGGGCGUAAAGAGCGCGUAGGCGGGAUAGCAAGUCAGAGGUGAAAACCUAUGGCUUAACCAUAAAACUGCAUUUGAAACUGUCAUUCUAGAGUAUAGGAGAGGUAGGUGGAAUUCUUGGUGUAGAGGUGAAAUCCGUAGAGAUCAAGAGGAAUACUCAUUGCGAAGGCGGCCUGCUGGAACAUAACUGACGCUGAUGCGCGAAAGCGUGGGGAGCAAACAGGAUUAGAUACCCUAGUAGUC